RNAcentral lists this ribosomal RNA (253 nucleotides) under uncultured bacterium. RNAcentral describes it as "partial 16S ribosomal RNA". It matches the Rfam family "Bacterial small subunit ribosomal RNA", at positions 524 to 776 of the family's 1533-position model. The record is from RNAcentral.
UACGUAGGCAGCAAGCGUUGUUCGGAGUUACUGGGCGUAAAGGGUGCGUAGGUGGCUCUAUAAGUAUGGUGUGAAAUCUCCCGGCUUAACUGGGAGGGUGCGCCGUAGACUGUGGGGCUAGAGUGUGGGAGAGGAAAGUGGAAUUCCUGGUGUAGCGGUGAAAUGCGUAGAUAUCAGGAGGAACACCGGUGGUGUAAACGGCUUUCUGGACCAUAACUGACACUGAGGCACGAAAGCGUGGGGAGCAAACAGG